This 224-nucleotide unclassified non-coding RNA is filed under the name plant metagenome. RNAcentral describes it as "partial contains small subunit ribosomal RNA, internal transcribed spacer 1, and 5.8S ribosomal RNA". The record is from RNAcentral.
UUUCCGUAGGUGAACCUGCGGAAGGAUCAUUAUUGAAAUAAACCUGAUGGGUUGUUGCUGGUUCUCUAGGGAGCAUGUGCACACCUUGUCAUCUUUAUAUCUCCACCUGUGCACCUUUUGUAGACCUUUUAGGUCUAUGUUGCUUCAUUUACCCCAAUGUAUGUUAAUAGAAUGUUGUGCCUAUAUAAUAUAUACAACUUUCAGCAACGGAUCUCUUGGCUCUC